UACGGCUAUAUCACUUUGAAACACUAGUUCAUAUACGAUCACCGAAGUUAAGCAACAUCGAGCCUGAUCAGUACCUAGAUAGCUGACCGCUUGGGAAUACCAAGUGGUGUAAU
Molecule: non-coding RNA, 113 nt
Organism: Acanthosepion pharaonis
Lineage: Eukaryota; Metazoa; Mollusca; Cephalopoda; Sepiida; Sepiidae
Source: the annotation of a GenBank genome assembly